RNAcentral lists this long non-coding RNA (1038 nucleotides) under Gopherus agassizii (Agassiz's desert tortoise). RNAcentral's name for it is "lncRNA (ENSGAGG00000011515.1)". The record is from RNAcentral. Lineage: Eukaryota; Metazoa; Chordata; Testudines; Testudinidae.
GGGGGAGGGCAGGAUGGGGAGAUCUUUCCUGCAAGAGGAAAAGGGUAAAACAACCACUUGUGAAACAUGCAGCAGUCAGAGCGUCUGCUGGAGACAGGACAAGGAAAAGGAGAUACAGUUUCUUCCAGCUGAGCCAAAUCCGCUGAAAACAAGGGCACUGUUACCCUCAGCCAGCCACCCUUCUUCGCGAGUGCCAGGCUCCAGUCCAUCACGUGUGAGAACCCAUGCAUCACAAAAGCAGGCAUUUUACCCGAGCCCAGCCGCUGAAGAAGAAAAGAGGGUGAAUCGCUCCAUAGAAGAAGAGCCAAGCUGUGGGGUUUGCUUUUUUUUAAGGAAGGGGACACCGCGAGGUUAAGCCAAGCCCGCCCUACGUGCCGGUUCUGUAAUUCCCUCCACACCACCGAUGCACACAGGAGGUCCUGCUCCUUCCACUGCCUCUGAUCUCGUUUGCAGGAAACUAGCUUUGCUCUUUCUCUCGCCCUGUACUGCAGAUAUUUCCCCCAAACACACACACACACUUCUGUUUAUCGGUCUGUUAGGCAGAGCUACUUUGUAAACAUCUCACACAGAGCCCCAGAGCCUUUUCAAAUAGCUGAUUGCACCAAAAUGCCUCCAAACAAAUGAUGGUCCAGGGGAAGACAAAUUCUAGAUCUGUAGCUGCACAGAUGACAUGAAGAUAGCCUAUGAUGGGGAAGAGGACAGAAAAAGUAUAGCCUUAAAAAUGAUGGGGAAAGUAAAAACAUAAACGACUGCAGCAAACUGACUACCCUCUGCCUCAGAACUCCCUCCAGCCCCCGCAAAAAUGAACAUGAACACACAAACCUUAAAUCUACUAUUCCUACCUUAACAGUGCUACAGCUGCAGCUGCACGGAGGUCCUUUUUUACUCAGCCAAAUUCUUCCACGGAAUCCUGACAGGAUAUCAGACAACAGGAAUUAUUCAAACAAGGCUCCCUUCUGUUUUUUGGAAUCCAACGCGAUUUUCUUGUCCAAAGGAAUGCAACGACCACAAAAAAAUAAAAAUAAAAAAGCAACAACA